This 258-nucleotide ribosomal RNA is filed under the name Glomus sp. 3E. RNAcentral's name for it is "partial 18S ribosomal RNA". It matches the Rfam family "Eukaryotic small subunit ribosomal RNA", at positions 624 to 886 of the family's 1831-position model. The record is from RNAcentral. Lineage: Eukaryota; Fungi; Glomeromycota; Glomeromycetes; Glomerales; Glomeraceae.
AAGCUCGUAGUUGAAUUUCGGGGUCAGCAGGUUGGUCGUGCCUAUGGUAUGAACUGGCUUCGCUGGUCUCUCCUUUCUGAAGAACUGUAAUGCCAUUAAUUUGGUGUUGCAGGGACACAGGACUGUUACUUUGAAAAAAUUAGAGUGUUUAAAGCAGGCUAACGCUUGAAUACAUUAGCAUGGAAUAAUGAAAUAGGACGUUCGAACCUAUUUUGUUGGUUUCUAGGAUUGACGUAAUGAUUAAUAGGGAUAGUUGGG